AACGGCCGCGGUAUUUUGACCGUGCAAAGGUAGCGCAAUCACUUGUCUUUUAAAUGAAGACCUGUAUGAAUGGCAUAACGAGGGCUUAACUGUCUCCUUUUUCCUAUCAAUGAAAUUGAUCUCCCCGUGCAGAAGCGGGGAUAAAAACAUAAGACGAGAAGACCCUAUGGAGCUUAAAACGCAAGAACAGAAUAAUACUCCUUCAUAUAAGCCAAAAUAUGAAAUCCAAUUAUAAACCUGUUCAAAUGUUUUUGGUUGGGGCGACCACGGAGUAUAAUUAAACCUCCACGAGGAAUAAAGACAUUCCUUUUCAUUUAAGGGUGACAACCCUAAAAAACAGAACAUCUGACCACCUUGAUCCGGCAAAGCCGAUCAACGAACCGAGUUACCCUAGGGAUAACAGCGCAAUCCUCUUUUAGAGUCCCUAUCGACAAGAGGGUUUACGACCUCGAUGUUGGAUCAGGACAUCCUAAU
Molecule: ribosomal RNA, 474 nt
Filed under: Aphyosemion sp. Oyo
Lineage: Eukaryota; Metazoa; Chordata; Actinopteri; Cyprinodontiformes; Nothobranchiidae
Description: partial 16S ribosomal RNA
Rfam family: Bacterial large subunit ribosomal RNA
Source: RNAcentral